This 336-nucleotide ribosomal RNA is filed under the name Triticum aestivum (bread wheat). RNAcentral's name for it is "partial small subunit ribosomal RNA". Lineage: Eukaryota; Viridiplantae; Streptophyta; Magnoliopsida; Poales; Poaceae. The record is from RNAcentral.
AUGUAUACACACUCAAGCGAACUUGCAAACGUCACAAAACACGGGAACUUCAUUACAAACCAAUGGAGGAACAAAGCAAAGCAAAAUAUCUUCAAAGUGAAGUUGGAGAAAUGCCUUGGCAGCAGUGCUACAACCGUCACCGGGUUUUUCCUCGCCUACUUCAAGCAUCAUCGCCAUGCUCCUAACCUAGCCGCCGCCGUCAUCACCGUUAUUCUUCCCGGUCCACGACGACUACCUCGACACCAGCCACCCCGACUCGACAUCGACCACGGCGUCCCUCGCAUAGCUACACCGCCCUACGCUCUUGGCUACCUCGAGAUUGGCACAAAGGGCUAA